Myotis daubentonii (Daubenton's bat) is the source of this 1977-nucleotide long non-coding RNA. RefSeq lists it as uncharacterized. The transcript has 2 exons. Lineage: Eukaryota; Metazoa; Chordata; Mammalia; Chiroptera; Vespertilionidae. The record is from RefSeq and is a predicted model, not a curated record.
AGAGAUGGCGAACCUUGAGCUCAGCGUGUCAGCAUUUUGAAAAACCCUAACUUAACUCUGGUGCCGUGUCACAUAUAGAAAUUUUUUGAUAUUUGCAACCAUAGUAAAACAAAGAUAUAUUUUUGAUAUUUAUUUUAUAUAUUUAAAUGCCAUUUAACAAAGAAAAAUCAACCAAAAAAAUGAGUUUGCGUGUCACCUCUGACACACGUGUCAUAGGUUCGCCAUCACUGUCCUAGCCUCUAGGCCAGCAGCAGUGUAGGUCAGUCUUAAUGUCCCUACAGAAAACCUAACAAGCCCAUUGGCCUGCCACUCUGCGGGAGGCUGCUGGUCUUGGUGACGGGGGGGCUUUUGGGUCCCUGAGCUGGUUGCCCCUUACCAACUCUGCUAGGAUUCUAGGGUCCCCUUUCUGCCUCAGUCAGUAGCUUUCUUACUCCACAUUCCCCUUGAGGGCACAUGUAAUCUACCUUCUAAAAAGGAGUCAAGAGGCCCAGAUACUUUAGUCCAGCCUAAAACAGGCAAUUGUCAGAAUGGUUUUCAGUUGAAGACUUGAGCAGCAAGGUUGGUCACACAUGGUAACUGAAUUGACAAUAUGUAGAAUCUCAGCACAGAGAAUAUUUUAGUUCAACUGUUCCCAACUAAUUUCAAAUUCGUGCCCUGGCUAUCUGAAUCUAGCAUGUGCACCUGGGAGGAUUGUUUUCAUUGGUCAAGGAUGUUAGUUGCAAAAAAAAAAAAAAAAAAAGUUUGCCCAAAACUUGUCAAAUUAUGAAUGACGGCCAGGCCCAGACCUCAGAGGCCUGCUGCUCAGUCCAACUCUGGGCCUGACUGGAACACAGGCAGGUAUGGAAGGACGAAACAGCUGACCAGUGUGUUGCUUCUAAAGUCACCCAAAACCCAUUAGAGUGGAGGGAUGCUUCAAAGUCUGAAACCAGCCUGUCUGCUGCUCUGCAUAGUCCAGGGCCCAGCCCUGGAACAGGUUCAUUUGUGAACUGAGUUUUAGAAACUACUUUGUGUCACGAAAGCAGAGCCACUCAUCCCAAAAGGGUGGCCCAUGGUGAACGGGCCUGACACUGCCCAGUCCAGCUGAGACAAGAGCAUCAGACCACUGGGGCAGGCCUGUCGGGUGUGAUGGGGUUCAGGCAGAGUCAACAGGACCACUUACUUUCAAAGCAGAGAAGAUUUUAAAGUUUGCGUGUUUAUUUUAAUUACAAUAUACAUUACUCCAACAGAGCAGCCCCACUGCUACAUUCUAAUUCUUAGCCAUUAAGUCCUACAAAAAUAAACCAAGCUUUUACAGAAACUUAAUACAGAACCGAAAUCUUUAUAGCUGUCUAGGGACUUAGUUACCAAGGUGCUUAUGUUCACCAAGAUGCCCUGUCUUCAGGGGGGGGAGCAUGCUUGUACUAAGGUGACCCAUUUACUCAUGCAACAGUUUACAUCCCACCUCCCUCCACCCACCUACAAAACAAACACAACUAUUUACAACUCGCUGUCAGCCGAGCUUGCAAAAAAGACUGGCUCAUUUCCAAGUGGAUGAGACUCGAACAGUGGUCCGAGUCCAACACUGACUGGCAGGACAGAGAGGAUGGGUAUGCCACCCCAAUCCUGACUCCUAUAGAAGCCAGGCUCUGAGUAACAGCUCCCAGCUCAUGUUCAGGACCCUUCUGUGCCUCCAAGAGUGCCAGCCUGCCAGUCCCAACCUCAACACCACCACCCUGGACAUCAGGUGGUCUGCUGCUCACACAUGAUCUGCGGGAACUCCACUUUCCCUGCUGGGGCCCACGCGACCCCACACCCCCUGGGGUGGCCCUGCCUUGCUCCUGAGGCCCACCAGUGGCAGUGGGGGUACCAGGCCAGCAGCAUGAGCGCCAGCUGGGUGACAGCUGUGCCUGGCUGCCACAUGGUCCACUUUAAAAGUCAAAGUUGUCCCCCCAAAAUUUUUUUUUUCAAAGUGAAGAUCAAGCUUUCGCUCUAGAAAAC